This 116-nucleotide ribosomal RNA is filed under the name Callistemon comboynensis. Its description in RNAcentral is "partial 18S ribosomal RNA". The stretch from base 1 to 85 matches the Rfam family "Eukaryotic small subunit ribosomal RNA", at positions 1747 to 1831 of the family's 1831-position model. Lineage: Eukaryota; Viridiplantae; Streptophyta; Magnoliopsida; Myrtales; Myrtaceae. The record is from RNAcentral.
GCGAGAAGUCCACUGAACCUUAUCAUUUAGAGGAAGGAGAAGUCGUAACAAGGUUUCCGUAGGUGAACCUGCGGAAGGAUCAUUGUCGAAUCCUGCACAGCAGAAUGACCAGAGAA